This 253-nucleotide ribosomal RNA is filed under the name uncultured bacterium. RNAcentral's name for it is "partial 16S ribosomal RNA". It matches the Rfam family "Bacterial small subunit ribosomal RNA", at positions 524 to 776 of the family's 1533-position model. The record is from RNAcentral.
AACGUAGGUGGCAAGCGUUAUCCGGAAUUACUGGGCGUAAAGGGUGUGCAGGCGGGGAAGCAAGUGGUGGAUGAAAUCUCCAGGCUUAACCUGGAGGGGUUAUGCCAGACUGCAUCUCUAGAGGACGAGAGAGGGGGGUGGAAUUCCGGGUGUAGUGGUGAAAUGCGUAGAGAUCCGGAGGAACCCCAGAGGCGAAGGCGGCCCCCUGGCUCGUACCUGACGCUCAGCCACGAAAGCAUGGGGAGCGAACGGG